Molecule: long non-coding RNA, 204 nt
Filed under: Vigna radiata
Lineage: Eukaryota; Viridiplantae; Streptophyta; Magnoliopsida; Fabales; Fabaceae
Description: long non-coding RNA (VRAD_LNC013697)
Source: RNAcentral
GAGGGAUGGUUUACGAUGUGAGGAGGUAGAAAAGUCACUUUUGUCUCAAGAACCAAAUUAGGGGAGUAAAAAUCAAAAGUUUUUCCAAGUGGAGUUUGAUAAGCAUUGGUGUAGCAAGGUUUAAGGAAUCAGUUGGAUUUGUGUGUCGAUAACAUCUAAGGUCAGAAAGUAAGAAGGUGUUGGUGAGCAAUGGAAUAAAAAUUG